ACCGGCAAACGGCCUCUGAAACUGCUGGUCUUGAGUCCGGGAGAGGUAGGUGGAAUUCCAGGUGUAGCGGUGAAAUGCGUAAAUAUCUGGAGGAACACCGGUGGCGAAGGCGGCCUACUGGCCCGGAACUGACGCUCAGGCACGAAAGCAUGGGGAGCGAACGGGAUUAGAUACCCCGGUAGUCCAUGCCGUAAACGAUGGGUACUAGGUGUUGGAGGAUUCUACCCCUUCAGUGCCGCAGCUAACGCAUUAAGUACCCCACCUGGGGAGUACGAUCGCAAGGUUGAAACUCAAAGGAAUUGACGGGGGCCCGCACAAGCGGUGGAGCAUGUGGUUUAAUUCGAUGCAACGCGAAGAACCUUACCUGGACUUGACAUGCAGGGGACAGAUGUAGAAAUACAUCCUUCUUCGGACUCCUGUACAGGUGCUGCAUGGCUGUCGUCAGCUCGUGUCGUGAAAUGUUAGGUUAAGUCCUGCAACGAGCGCAACCCCUGUCUUUAGUUGCCAACACGUAAUGGUGGGAACUCUAGAGAGACUGCCGGUGAUAAACCGGAGGAAAGUGGGGACGACGUCAAGUCAUCAUGGCCCUUACGUCCAGGGCUACACACGUGCUACAAUGGUCGGUACAAUGGGCUGCAAUACAGUGAUGUGGAGCGAAUCCCAAAAAGCCGGCCUCAGUUCGGAUCGUAGUCUGCAACUCGACUACGUGAAGUUGGAAUCGCUAGUAAUCGCGUAUCAGAACGACGCGGUGAAUACGUUCCCGGGCCUUGUACACACCGCCCGUCAAGUCAACCGAGUUGGCUGCACCCCAAGUCGCUGAGCUAACCUCUUCGGAGGAGGCAAGUGC
RNAcentral lists this ribosomal RNA (847 nucleotides) under uncultured bacterium. RNAcentral's name for it is "bacterial SSU rRNA". It matches the Rfam family "Bacterial small subunit ribosomal RNA", at positions 612 to 1456 of the family's 1533-position model. The record is from RNAcentral.